GCGCUACACUGAUGAAGUCAUCGAGUUCAUUUCCUUUAUCGGAAGAUAUGGGUAAUCUUUUGAAACUUCAUCGUGCUGGGGAUAGAGCAUUGCAACUAUUGCUCUUGAACGAGGAAUCCCUAGUAAGUACAAGUCACUAGCUUGUGCUGAUUACGUCCCUGCCCUUUGUACACACCGCCCGUCGCUACUACCGAUUGAAUGGCUUAGUGAGGCCUUCGGAUUGAAAUUCGGAGACUGGCAACAGACUCUUGGUUUUGAAAAGUUGGACAAACUUGGUCAUUUAGAGGAAGUAAAAGUCGUAACAAGGUUUCCGUAGGUGAACCUGCGGAAGGAUCAUUA
This 339-nucleotide non-coding RNA is filed under the name Rhizophagus irregularis DAOM 197198w. RNAcentral's name for it is "Eukaryotic small subunit ribosomal RNA". It matches the Rfam family "Eukaryotic small subunit ribosomal RNA", at positions 1495 to 1831 of the family's 1831-position model. The record is from Rfam by way of RNAcentral. Lineage: Eukaryota; Fungi; Glomeromycota; Glomeromycetes; Glomerales; Glomeraceae.